RNAcentral lists this long non-coding RNA (1052 nucleotides) under Bos indicus x Bos taurus (hybrid cattle). RNAcentral describes it as "lncRNA (ENSBIXG00000023967.1)". Lineage: Eukaryota; Metazoa; Chordata; Mammalia; Artiodactyla; Bovidae. The record is from RNAcentral.
GUUCUUGACCCACUUCAGCAUGUACAUUGUAGAUAUAUUAAAUCUAUUUAAUUAAGGGGGGAAGAUUAGGAGAGCAUUUGUUUCAGUGAACAGAGAGCAUAGAGGUUUCAGAAUAUGAGGACAGAGUUGGUGCUUGAACUUUAAUUGUGUUUGCAUACAUUGUGAACAAAAAUGGUAAACGUACUAUUGAACAAAGAUUCAAGGAAUAACAUAGUUUAUCCUGAGUUUUUCCACUGGCAAAUCAGCAGGUAAGAAAUUCUAACAAGAAAGCUGGAGACUUCUUACAUCUGUGCCCUCAUGGUAAGAAAAUAAUACACUGUGUGUAUUGCUUUAAUAGGGGACCCACAGAAUAAGAAGAGAUGAUUCAUUUUCCUACCACAAAGGAUCACAAAUGUAACUUUUAGUGAACAUGUUCAACUAUUUCGUCAAUUUACUGGAAAAAUGAUGUAAUCUUUGUUUAAGCUUAUUUCAAGGGUCAUUGUAAAUAUUAGCUAAUUGUCAUUUUUAUUUUGGCGGGGGAAAUAUUACACGAAGAUAAAGUAUUUCUAUUGUUCAUUUCAGUAUUUUGCCUGGAAUAGAGAUUUCUGAUGAUUAAUAAUAAUUAAAAAAAAUGUCUUCUUAAGUGAACUUUUAAAUUCAGCUUUUCACAAUUUUCUAAUACAAGGUUAAACUCUAUUAUUCUUUCUUCAGGUGCUUAGAUCUAUAGUUUAACGUAUCUGAAGGUGAAUUUGGCAUAAAAUCAACAUUUUACUUUUGUCAGCUCUGCAGAGUCAAUAUAUCAUAUCCCCAGAAGAGGAGGUGCUUCAAACAUCAGUAAAAAAAACUGACAGAGAAGUGCUAAUUCCAGAAUUGUUCCAGUUGUUACUGACAUGUAGCCCGGAAAGGACUGAGACUGUCAGAUGUCAAGCCAGUUUCCACUACUGACAAAUGGAAACCUUCACUGUUUGACUUGUAAAGAAGGGCAAACUGAUCAGAACACAAAAGCUGUCAAAAACCUGGAGAAUACGGAAUCAUCUCCCUGAGCAAAAAUUGGUGCUUCUCCGCUUCAAACU